GUUGAGCUGUGAGGAGUGGCCUCAAGAGUCCUUAUAUCUGAACAAAUAAACUGAUGUUUCUUCUUCAGAGGAGUUGGACAGAGAUGGAGCUUCUUCCUCUCGUGUGUUUCUGUCUCCUGACCUGCUCUGGAACAACGUUUGGUGUCGAAGUCACAAAGAUGGGAGUGAAAGAAGAUGAAGACGUCAUUUUACCCUGUUCCUUAGACUCUACCAACAUUCGGUCUGAGACCUUUGACUGGAAGAAAGAUGAUCAGAAGAAUGUGUUCCAGUACAGUGCAGGGACUCAUUAUAAUAACGGACGUUCAGGUCAAGAUCCACAGUUCAAAGGUCAAGUCUUUCAUUUUGAAGAUCAGCUCCAGUCUGGUAAUGCCUCCAUAGUUAUCAGAAACACAAAGGUGACAGACAGUGGAAGGUACAGCUGUAUUUUUCCAUUUCAUCAACCAACGACAAGAUCCAUCAUUGAGCUCAGUGUUGAUUGUAUCUUAAAAGACAGAACGAAGGAAAAUAAACCAGGUACAGCUCCAAAGCCUUUCAUUACACAUCAUCCAGCAAAUAAAGGAGUGUUGCUGCAGUGUGAAGUUCGAGAUGCUUCUCCAAAACCUAAAGUCGUCUGGAAGGACGGAGCUGGAAACAUCCUUCCUGCUGAAGAACCAGAGGUCACAGAAUAUAAAGGCAGAUACAACAUCAUCCUCAAAACUACUGUGACCAAGACCGACUUCUAUCGCUGUGUAUCCACACAAGAGGAAAUCCACCAUGAAGUUUAUACUGACAUAUAUGUGUCUUUUCAGAUGAGAGUGAAAGAAGAUGAAGACGUCACUUUAAACUGUUCCUUAGACUCUACCAACAUUACGUCUGAGACCUUUGUCUGGAAGAAAGAUGAUCAGAAGAAGGUGUUCCAGUACAGUGCAGGGACUCAUUAUAAUAACGGACGUUCAGGUCAAGAUCCACAGUUCAAAGGUCGAGUCUUUCAUUUUGAAGAUCAGCUCCAGUCUGGUAAUGCCUCCAUAGUUAUCAGAAACACAAAGAAGACAGACAGUGGAAGGUACAGCUGUAUUUUUCCAUUUCAUCAGCAAACGACAAGAUCCAUCAUUGAGCUCAGUGUUGGGGACAAAAUAGGAGGUAAGACCUGAUUGUGAUGACGUCACUGAUGAAUGAUCUCACCUGGAUGUGAUGAAACUAAUCACUGAUUAUUGGACACAUUUAUACACCAACAUCUCUUUAGUUUGUACCAGUUUUAAUCCUGUAGAAGGUUUGUAAAUAGUUUUUAUAUAAAUGAAGUGACCUGAAACUAUAGAAAGUACAUUUUUGACGUCUGGAUGAUUCUCAAUACUUUAUUUAUGAUGCACUAAUAUUGAUAAAGGUUUUGGUUUUAGCUGUUGUAGCUGUGUAGGUUAAAAUCAGAUGAUCUUUACGUCUCCAUGUAUCACUGAUGGAGACAUUAUUAAUAUUUUAUACAUAUAUACCAGUGAUGUUCUUUAUUUCCAUUCUAAUGAAUCCAGUUUCAGUCAGUGUUUCUGUAAUGAUCCUCUGACAUUGAUUGAGGCGUCUCAGUCGUCAGUUUCUCCUUCAUAAAAGUACUUCAGUCUAAUUCUACAGCUCUGUAGUGUCUCCUACUGCAGUUUCUGAUGUUUAGUUUCAUGUAUAUGAUGAUUAGGGUGAAUAUUUGUGGAGCUAUGAUAAGACAUUUAUUGUGUAUUAUUAAUUGUGGGAGAUCAGAGUUAUAAGAAGAUUAAUGUGUUGGGAUGGUGAGUUGUAUUUUAUUUGAUUCUUCAAUUCUCCCAUAAUUUCUACCUUUAACUUUAUAAUGUUUUUGUUGUUAAACUGUCAGAAAUGUGUAAACAUGUAUUUAAUAGUGAAGUUAGUGUUGUACUAGAUUAUAUUGUAUUGAGGUGUUUCUAAUAUUGUGGCCAUCCCAUAUUAAUACAUUAGUGGAGCAGAUUAUUAAGAACUCCACUCAGGAUAAAACAACACAACACAUCACUGAUUCUGACCUCAGUAGUUCAACAUACAGUCACUGGCCAGUUUAUUAGGUACAGCAGUGAAUUCAUUCUAAUAUAACAGUCCUGCUCUAAAUCUAGUCUCCAUGAAGGUUCUGGUGUUCAGCUUUAGUUUCUAAUCACUGACACAUGUUCAUUCAACUGUGGUUUCAUUUUGAUACUAUACUAUUUAAUACCUUUGCACUGACACAUGUUCCUAUUGUUCUGACAUUGUAGUCAGUGGCUAGACUAAAUAACAGAAACACUUUAGUGUUUAACUGGUGGAACAGAGGAGGAACUAAAUAUGUGACUCUGAUGUGAACUGAUCCAGAACAGAGUUGAAGUAGUUGAUGAUAAGAACUCAGUGACAUUAGAGACGUCACAGUAGUAGAGUUUAUGAACACAGCAGUGGUAGAGGAGACAUUAGAUGGUAAUGGUGCAGGUGUACCUAAUAAUAUGGCCACUAACUGACACUGAAAGGAUUCAACCCUGACAAUAAAAGAUGUUAAACUUUUUAUCAUCCAUUUCUUAGUGAGUGUUCAUGUUGUUGAGUCAGAAACAGUGUUGUUGCCGUGGUGAUGAGUUAAUAAAUCUGGAGUUAAAUCUGGUUUAAAGUUUAAAUCAAACACUGCUGAGAUGAAUCAGAUGUAAUUAUGAGCUGCUUUUAUAUCCAGAUGUUUUACUGAGUUUCUCUUAAAUAUGUUUUAAGUCACAUAAACCAGCAGAGAAUGGAUGAAAACACUUCAUCACUGAGUUGUGUUUGAAACUGUGCUUCUCAUAAGUUGUUAUUUGUGUUCACAGGUCCUACUCCUGAGCCAACCAAUGGAUCAAACACUAGAUCGAUUAUUGCUGCAGUCGUCAGUGUUCUUCUUGCUCUUGCUGUGGUCGUUAUUAUUGUUCUCUGGGUUAAACUAAAAAACAAACCUGAAGCACUCAGACUAGAGAAAUCUGACAAAGAACUGAUCAACAAUGAAGAGGAGACUAUAGUUCUAUCAUCAGAUAAAACUGAUGGUGACAGAUGUUGAGUGAUUUGUGUGUUUCACCCUCGUUUGCUUCUAUUCUUCUGAAAACUACUUUGAGUUUCAGUGAAAACAUUUGGAAAAAAUUGGGACAUUUUUAUCAGAAUAUUUUCUCAGUCAGAGAAUAGUUUCAUUUUCAUUUAAAUCCAAAAUGUACAGAAUGGAUCCAUGUCACUGAUGUAUGUUUAGUUGUAAAAUGGUGCAUGCUUACAUACACAGCGUCUUUCUCCUUUAGAUAAAGAGGCCUGUUAAAUAUACAGUGAAUGUAUCAGUAAAUAUGAAUUCCUCUGGGUUACACAUGAAGAAAAGGAAAACUUCUGUCAGCUCCUUGAAUUCAUGAUGCUGGUUUCUUGAAAUAUUCAUUUUUAAUUUAAUUUCUAUCCUGUAGAACAAUGAAACAGCUGAUAGUGAAUGAAAUCUAUGAAAGUUCAGCACCUGAGGAGCAGAACUGAUCACUAGUGUUGAAGAUAUUACCUGUAACUUUGUAAAAAUGUAAAUGUCUUGUAUGAAGAGUUAACUGGAGUCAGAGAGAGGACAUGUCUCUAAUACACAAACUGAUGGAAGGUCUCACCAUCGUCAUCAGAGAAGGUUGACAUCAGGUUCAGAGUCUGACUCACUGUUCAUCAAAGAUUAGACACAGAGAAUAUUCAUGAGUUGAAGGUCUUUUAUAUAUUAAUACAAUAUAUCUUAUGUUCUUAUUUUGUGUUCUUGCUUCUUUAAUAUAAAUUAAUCCUUUAUUCCCCACGAUUGUCAGAAGCUGACACAAAAAGUACAGAAAAAUAGAAAAUUAAUCAGAUGUAAUAUUUCCAUCCUCCACUGUUCUCUGACUGUGACGAGUUCCUCAUCUUUAUCGUGGAGAUAAAAAGCAGCUGGAGCUGAUUUUAAGAAUGAAUGAGACGUUACUGAAAACAUGUUUCUGUUUCAUGUGUUAAUGUGUAGAAGGUCCCAGUUUCCUCACCUCUCCACACAUCUGAUGUUUUCAUCUAUUUUAUAUCAGUUCUUCAUCUGCUCUUUUAAUCUGUUUCCUGUUGCAUUUUGUUCACAGACCAACAGUUCUCAUAUAUGGACUGAAACCCAUGAUGUUAAUAAUUGAUCCUUUUGCUUUUAUUAUUUCUUUGCUUUUUGAUCUUUGUCUGUUUUCAGUGUGUUGUAAUCCAAUAAUAUCCAAGAGCACUGAAACCUUAAAGGUUACAUUGAUAUAAAUAUUAUAAUAAUCAUGUGUUCAGUUAGAAAAUAAAAAAUAAAAUGUA
Mugil cephalus (flathead mullet) is the source of this 4245-nucleotide RNA transcript. It is a transcript of the gene named butyrophilin-like protein 10, with no coding region annotated. The transcript is spliced from 9 exons. The record is from RefSeq and is a predicted model, not a curated record. Lineage: Eukaryota; Metazoa; Chordata; Actinopteri; Mugiliformes; Mugilidae.